Molecule: ribosomal RNA, 484 nt
Filed under: uncultured bacterium
Lineage: Bacteria
Description: bacterial SSU rRNA
Rfam family: Bacterial small subunit ribosomal RNA
Source: RNAcentral
GACGAACGCUGGCGGCGUGCUUAAUACAUGCAAGUCAACUGAACUUUAGGUAGCAAUAUUUAAAGGGAGGUGGCGCACGGGUGAGUAACACGUAGGUAAUCUGCCUUCAGGACUGACAUAACUCCGCGAAAGCGGGACUAAAAUCAGAUGAUGCAGCGGCUCGACAUCGAGACAGUUGUUAAACCUUCGGGGCCGUGAAGAUGAGCCUGCGUCUGAUUAGGUAGUUGGAGGGGUAAGUGGCCCACCAAGCCUGCGAUCAGUAGCUGGUCUGAGAGGAUGAUCAGCCACACUGGAACUGAGACACGGUCCAGACUCCUACGGGAGGCAGCAGUAAGGAAUAUUGCUCAAUGGCCGAAAGGCUGAAGCAGCAACGCCGCGUGGAGGAUGAAAUACUUUAGUAUGUAAACUACCUGUAAGAGGGGAAAAGUAAUACAGUUCUGCUGUAUUGAUUGUACCCUCAGAGUAAGCACCGGCUAACUACGUG